GGGCCUAUAGCUCAGUUGGGAGAGCGCUGCGUUCGCAACGCAGAGGUCAUGGGUUCGAAUCCCACUAGGUCCACCA
This 76-nucleotide transfer RNA is filed under the name Clostridia bacterium. RNAcentral describes it as "tRNA-Ala". It matches the Rfam family "tRNA". From Rfam's summary of the family: Transfer RNA (tRNA) molecules are approximately 80 nucleotides in length. Their secondary structure includes four short double-helical elements and three loops (D, anti-codon, and T loops). Lineage: Bacteria; Bacillati; Bacillota; Clostridia. The record is from RNAcentral.